This 927-nucleotide long non-coding RNA is filed under the name Homo sapiens (human). RNAcentral's name for it is "HSALNT0044754". The record is from RNAcentral. Lineage: Eukaryota; Metazoa; Chordata; Mammalia; Primates; Hominidae.
UUUUUUUUUGAGACGGAGUCUCCCUCUGUCGCCCAGGCUGGAGUGCAGUGGCGCGAUCUCGGCUCACGGCAAGCUCCGCCUCCCGGGUUCACGCCAUUUUCCUGCCUCAGCCUCCUGAGUAGCUGGAACUACAGGCGCCGCGCCACCACUCCCGGCUAAUUUUUUUAUUUUAUUUUAUUUUUUAUUUUUAGUAGAGACGGGGUUUCACCGUAGCCAGAAUGGUCUUGAUCUCCUGACCUCGUCAUCCGCCCGCCUCGGCCUCCCAAAGUGCUGGGCUUACAGGCGUGAGACACUGCGCCCGGCCCAUACUACUACUUUUUUUUCAUGUGCACUCUAGAUGAUAGUGAAUGAAUACCUUAUAUGGAGUCCAGCCAUGACCAAAAGACAGGAGCUAACACUCAGCUUCAUGGAAAGGCCCAAUCUAAUGUCCAGGAAUAGACUCCUGAGGUAUGGUCUUCUGCCACAGAGCUUUCAGGCCUAGAAAAUUUGCUUGAAGCAGUUUUACUUGCUUGAAAAACUGCUGCGAUAAGAAGAUAUUUUUUUCAUUUGAAGUCUCACAUACUUAAAAUACAAAAAUAGAACAAAGACAUUGCAUUGCAAAUAGAAUUACAGUCUUAUUUUCUUAAUAGAGUAAAAAAUAAAUUGUCUAAAAUGAUUUUUGACAAAGGAAACUUUUUAUUUGAAAAUUAUGAUUUGCAGUCUUUCACUAGAAUGCUAAUUUAUUAACUCUCUUCAAAAUCCUGUAUCAGAAUUUACUCAGGCUUGCUGAUAGGGCUUAACAAAAAAGCAAAGCUAAGCAAGGCACCUAUACGCUUGGGCCUGACAUAAUGUGAUUUGAGAAAAUGUCAUCAUGCUUUAAAAUGCAAAGCGCCUAUCACAACCGAACAACAAAAGACGUUCUCUCAUUGAGUAUCUUUUCCAUAACAG